RNAcentral lists this ribosomal RNA (492 nucleotides) under uncultured bacterium. RNAcentral describes it as "partial 16S ribosomal RNA". It matches the Rfam family "Bacterial small subunit ribosomal RNA", at positions 29 to 507 of the family's 1533-position model. The record is from RNAcentral.
AGUGAACGCUGGCGGUAGGCCUAACACAUGCAAGUCGAACGGCAGCACAGUAAGAGCUUGCUCUUACGGGUGGCGAGUGGCGGACGGGUGAGGAAUACAUCGGAAUCUACUUUUUCGUGGGGGAUAACGUAGGGAAACUUACGCUAAUACCGCAUACGACCUACGGGUGAAAGCAGGGGAUCUUCUGACCUUGCGCGAUUGAAUGAGCCGAUGUCGGAUUAGCUAGUUGGCGGGGUAAAGGCCCACCACGGCGACGAUCCGUAGCUGGUCUGAGAGGAUGAUCCGCCACACUGGAACUGAGACACGGUCCAGACUCCUACGGGAGGCAGCAGUGGGGAAUAUUGGACGAUGGGCGCAUGCCUGAUCCAGCCAUACCGCGUGGGUGAAGAAGGCCUUCGGGUUGUAAAGCCCUUUUGUUGGGAAAGAAAAGCAGCAGGUUAAUACCCCGCUGUUCUGACGGUACCCAAAGAAUAAGCACCGGCUAACUUCGUG